Molecule: long non-coding RNA, 1013 nt
Organism: Cryptotermes secundus
Lineage: Eukaryota; Metazoa; Arthropoda; Insecta; Blattodea; Kalotermitidae
Exons: 4
Source: RefSeq, a predicted model, not a curated record
UCUCACCGCUGUCGCCACUUGUAACGCCGUGGUGCAGGGGGGCGUGAAAGUCCCCCUCCUGACCACCACAGCUUACACUAGAAGAUAAUUGGUCAAUAGAAUCUGUGAAUUCUAUAUCUGCUUUGUGGAAGCCCCGGUAGCUCCUGCCGGACUUGCAUACCACAGGUGACGAAGAGGCCUUACAUUACAUGGUGUCAGCGUUGGUGGGAUAGUUGCAAUAACAUCAGAGAGUAUAAUUCAACGAGGCUGCCGACGGAAGUGCAAGGAGAACUUGAAGACGCCGAGGUGGAUUCAAGCCUGCUUCGAGGAGUGAACAUCCCGGAGGUACCUCGAGUACAGAGAUACUCGGAAGGACGCAGCCGCUAGGUCCGUAGAAGCAAGCUGUAAUCAGCGACCCUUGUUGAAUCCUGAGAGACAGCAGAGGUGCCAGCCGACAGCAGCCGUCGACGAGAGAGGAGCGUAGGACAGCGUUCUGAACUUCGGUUUCCCUUCUACUCUUUCAUCUUCAAUUUCCAAAGCAAAUCAGCCCCUAAAUGAAGAUUCCUAUCUUUUGGGAUGAGACGUCCUGCAGUCUGAGGAAAAUUCAUCAAUGUUUCGGUGCAACGUACUGCCUCCAUUCUCUGGGCAGCGCUGAAGAUGGAUAAAGUUCAUUUCUCCGAAAUUGCAGUAAAUAAAGUAUCUUCCGCAUUACACGGUGUCACAUCUUAGUAAAGAGUAGCCUUUAUUCAAAGUCGUGAUUACCUCAGAUCUCGCAGAACCCUGCCAAUGUACUUUCCUUUUCUCUACAAUCCUACAUCGUCCCACUCUUACAAUAUUACAACUUGGACUUAGAAUCGCCAUCAUUAGACAUUUGUCACAAGCACAAGACAUUUUUCGCUGCUCAUAGCAGUCUUCGACUGAUUUCAAAAGUUUUCCAUUUAGUUUUUGUGUCAGCCUAUAUAUUGUUAGGUCUCAAUUGGAUUUCUUUUUCUCCUAGAAAGAAAUAUAGAGUUGUGGGUUGGUUCAUAAGAAAC